UUAAUUGAAGAGUUUGAUCAUGGCUCAGAUUGAACGCUGGCGGCAGGCCUAACACAUGCAAGUCGAGCGGCAGCACAGAGGAACUUGUUCCUUGGGUGGCGAGCGGCGGACGGGUGAGUAAUGCCUGGGAAAUUGCCCGGUAGAGGGGGGAUAACCAUUGGAAACGAUG
This 169-nucleotide ribosomal RNA is filed under the name Vibrio cholerae. Its description in RNAcentral is "partial 16S ribosomal RNA". It matches the Rfam family "Bacterial small subunit ribosomal RNA", at positions 1 to 161 of the family's 1533-position model. Lineage: Bacteria; Pseudomonadati; Pseudomonadota; Gammaproteobacteria; Vibrionales; Vibrionaceae. The record is from RNAcentral. RNAcentral also lists the same sequence under 1 other name.